This 106-nucleotide small nucleolar RNA is filed under the name Gossypium hirsutum (cotton). RNAcentral's name for it is "Plant small nucleolar RNA R71". It matches the Rfam family "Plant small nucleolar RNA R71". Rfam says of the family: R71 is a member of the C/D box family of snoRNAs containing the C (UGAUGA) and D (CUGA) box motifs. The record is from Rfam by way of RNAcentral. Lineage: Eukaryota; Viridiplantae; Streptophyta; Magnoliopsida; Malvales; Malvaceae.
AUCUCGUAGUGAGGGCAUUACGUACUAACUCUUUAAAUCUUUCUCAUGCCUCAUGUAAGGAUUCAUCAAUCAAUUGCUAAAAAGUGGUGAUCUCAUUCCACAACUU